AGAGUUUGAUCCUGGCUCAGGACGAACGCUGGCGGCGCGCCUAACACAUGCAAGUCGAACGAGCGAGAGAGAGCUUGCUUUCUCAAGCGAGUGGCGAACGGGUGAGUAACGCGUGAGGAACCUGCCUCAAAGAGGGGGACAACAGUUGGAAACGACUGCUAAUACCGCAUAAGCCCACGGCUCGGCAUCGAGCAGAGGGAAAAGGAGCAAUCCGCUUUGAGAUGGCCUCGCGUCCGAUUAGCUAGUUGGUGAGGUAACGGCCCACCAAGGCGACGAUCGGUAGCCGGACUGAGAGGUUGAACGGCCACAUUGGGACUGAGACACGGCCCAGACUCCUACGGGAGGCAGCAGUGGGGAAUAUUGCACAAUGGGGGAAACCCUGAUGCAGCGACGCCGCGUGGAGGAAGAAGGUCUUCGGACUGUAAACUCCUGUUGUUGAGGAAGAUAAUGACGGUACUCAACAAGGAAGUGACGGCUAACUACGUGCCAGCAGCCGCGGUAAAACGUAGGUCACAAGCGUUGUCCGGAAUUACUGGGUGUAAAGGGAUCGCAGGCGGGAAGACAAGUUGGAAGUGAAAUCCAUGGGCUCAACCCAUGAACUGCUUUCAAAACUGUUUUUUCUUGAGUAGUGCAGAGGUAGGCGGAAUUCCCGGUGUAGCGGUGGAAUGCGUAGAUAUCGGGAGGAACACCAGUGGCGAAGGCGGCCUACUGGGCACCAACUGACGCUGAGGCUCGAAAGUGUGGGUAGCAAACAGGAUUAGAUACCCUGGUAGUCCACACUGUAAACGAUGAUUACUAGGUGUUGGAGGAUUGACCCCUUCAGUGCCGCAGUUAACACAAUAAGUAAUCCACCUGGGGAGUACGACCGCAAGGUUGAAACUCAAAGGAAUUGACGGGGGCCCGCACAAGCAGUGGAGUAUGUGGUUUAAUUCGACGCAACGCGAAGAACCUUACCUAGUCUUGACAUCCUGCGACGCACAUAGAAAUAUGUGUUUCCUUCGGGACGCAGAGACAGGUGGUGCAUGGUUGUCGUCAGCUCGUGUCGUGAGAUGUUGGGUUAAGUCCCGCAACGAGCGCAACCCUUAUGGUCAGUUACUACGCAAGAGGACUCUGGCCAGACUGCCGUUGACAAAACGGAGGAAGGUGGGGAUGACGUCAAAUCAUCAUGCCCUUUAUGACUUGGGCUACACACGUACUACAAUGGCGUUAAACAAAGAGAAGCAAGACCGCGAGGUGGAGCAAAACUCAGAAACAACGUCCCAGUUCGGACUGCAGGCUGCAACUCGCCUGCAC
This 1293-nucleotide ribosomal RNA is filed under the name metagenome. RNAcentral's name for it is "bacterial SSU rRNA". It matches the Rfam family "Bacterial small subunit ribosomal RNA", at positions 8 to 1321 of the family's 1533-position model. The record is from RNAcentral.